AUUGAACGCUGGCGGCAUGCCUUACACAUGCAAGUCGAACGGCAGCACGGGAGCAAUCCUGGUGGCGAGUGGCGAACGGGUGAGUAAUACAUCGGAACGUGCCCAGUAUUGGGGGAUAACCCGGCUAAAGCCGGACUAAUACCGCAUACGACCUACUAGUGAAAGCGGUGGAUCGCAAGACCUCGCGCUAUCUGCUCGGCCGAUGUCAGAUUAGCUAGUUGGUGUGGUAAAGGCCUACCAAGGCGACGAUCUGUAGCUGGUCUGAGAGGACGACCAGCCACACUGGAACUGAGACACGGCCCAGACUCCUACGGGAGGCAGCAGUGGGGAAUUUUGGACAAUGGGCGAAAGCCUGAUCCAGCCAUGCCGCGUGAGGGAAGAAGGCCUUCGGGUUGUAAAACGCUUUUGUCAGGGAAGAAACGAUCCGGGCUAAUCCCACGGAGUAAUGACGGUACCUGAAGAAUAAGCACCGGCUAACUACGUG
This 484-nucleotide ribosomal RNA is filed under the name uncultured bacterium. RNAcentral describes it as "partial 16S ribosomal RNA". It matches the Rfam family "Bacterial small subunit ribosomal RNA", at positions 30 to 507 of the family's 1533-position model. The record is from RNAcentral.